This is a long non-coding RNA of Ixodes scapularis (black-legged tick), 345 nucleotides long. RefSeq lists it as uncharacterized. NCBI's taxonomy places the organism in Eukaryota, Metazoa, Arthropoda, Arachnida, Ixodida, Ixodidae. The record is from RefSeq and is a predicted model, not a curated record. The transcript has 3 exons.
AUCAAAUCGGUUGAUGAUGGUAAUUGAGAGCGUGAAGAGCCCUUUACUGACUGGGCCACAUUCUCCUGUCAGGUGAUGGCAUCAUGUUUGACAUAUGAAGAUGCAAAGUUCAAAGAAAAAAAAAUCCGGAAGCGGCGUCCGACCUAUCAACGAAUAAUGAAGAGCGGGAGAAAAGAAAAAGGAAGAGACUGCUCCUUUUCCGUCAAGCUUGCCUCUUCUGCAGGAACGACCUAGCACUCAGCCAGCCCCUCAACUUCCAGAACGUGCACCAGUGCCCAAGCAAAAACGCACACGUGAGCAGCGUGCCUCUUCCCAGGAGUGACUGAGGGGCUGCCACAAGGGGAG